GGACACCUCGAAGAACACAAUCAGUGCAGCAAGGAUUGUAAACACAUUGCGGAGCUCUCCUGCUUAAAGUCCAACGAUGGAGCAGGAGGUUUCAUUUCGUGUGACAAGGUUCUUGGAGAAGUUGAAGGUGAAACUGCCGUCCUAUGUAGAACGUGCUACAACGCGGCGUAGAGGGCAUAGUGCCC
Ornithodoros turicata is the source of this 185-nucleotide long non-coding RNA. RefSeq lists it as uncharacterized. The transcript is spliced from 3 exons. Lineage: Eukaryota; Metazoa; Arthropoda; Arachnida; Ixodida; Argasidae. The record is from RefSeq and is a predicted model, not a curated record.